UCAAAAGAUAGUAAAGUGCACUUCCUCCCCUUUUCACUUGAAAUUUAAGUUUUCUAAAAUAUCUUCUACCAGAAAAAAGUUGAAAAGUGGUCAUAUGGCCACCAUGGCUUUUUCUCCUCUUUGUCUUCUGCCAUCAUCUUUUCCCCCCCACAUUAGUUCUCAUUUGAUGUGGGUGAGGGAGAGUGUUUUCAUCUCUCAAAUCACUCACCGUCAACACAUCCUCUUGCUUCUGCCCUUUUUUUUCUUGGUGUGUUUUACUAUCUGAGUUUCUUCACCAUGAGUAGCGCAGAGAGAUGGGUGUUGUGGACAGACAUGAUACAGCUGUGAAUGGGGUUGGAGGAUCAGGGUUGAGGAGAUUAAGGGGAAAAAAGAAACAGAAAAGGAAACCCAUAAACUUUUGGUUGAUGUGGUGGCAUGGUUUUGCUAAAGCAGAUGGGAGAUUCAUUGUGCAUUCUUUUCCGUCUGAACUGUGGAUCCAAUUGUUUAAGAUGAAUAGUUGAAUUCACAGCCGCGUCUUCCCUCUUCAGGGCUUGGAAUUUGUUUUCUUUCACUAAUAUUCGAGAGUUUUCCAUGUUUAUAUGUUCUCUUGGCUUUGGCUCAUUUCUACCAAUCAAUUUGUUUAUGCUUGGAUUUAAAUAUUAUAAGUUUCUCUCCCUUUUCUUACUUGUUAUUUCUUUAUUGUACUCUGCUUUUUUGUUUAUAGUUUGCUCUUGCUGUGGAUUCUCAUUUUAUGGGAGAAGAUAUUGGAAAGGUUUCUUGUUCUUUUUCUUCUUUUGAAUCAUAAUUGUAUAACCCUUUUCUCUUUAAUUUAUUAUAUGUUCAAUGAUUGAUUCUCUUCUCA
RNAcentral lists this long non-coding RNA (841 nucleotides) under Populus trichocarpa (black cottonwood). RNAcentral's name for it is "long non-coding RNA (PTRI_LNC000405)". The record is from RNAcentral. Lineage: Eukaryota; Viridiplantae; Streptophyta; Magnoliopsida; Malpighiales; Salicaceae.